Molecule: ribosomal RNA, 497 nt
Filed under: uncultured bacterium
Lineage: Bacteria
Description: partial 16S ribosomal RNA
Rfam family: Bacterial small subunit ribosomal RNA
Source: RNAcentral
GAUGAACGCUGGCGGCGUGCCUAAUACAUGCAAGUCGAGCGAACGGACGAGAAGCUUGCUUCUCUGAUGUUAGCGGCGGACGGGUGAGUAACACGUGGAUAACCUACCUAUAAGACUGGGAUAACUUCGGGAAGCCGUAGCUAAUACCGGAUAAUAUUUUGAACCGCAUGGUUCAAAAGUGAAAGACGGUCUUGCUGUCACUUAUAGAUGGAUCCGCGCUGCAUUAGCUAGUUGGUAAGGUAACGGCUUACCAAGGCAACGAUGCAUAGCCGACCUGAGAGGGUGAUCGGCCAUACUGGAACUGAGACACGGUCCAGACUCCUACGGGAGGCAGCAGUAGGGAAUCUUCCGCAAUGGGCGAAAGCCUGACGGAGCAACGCCGCGUGAGUGAUGAAGGUCUUCGGAUCGUAAAACUCUGUUAUUAGGUAAGAACAUAUGUGUAAGUAACUGUGCACAUCUUGACGGUACCUAAUCAGAAAGCCACGGCUAACUACGUG